GUAGGGGAGCGUUCUGUAAGCCUGCGAAGGUGGCCUGUGAGGGUUGCUGGAGGUAUCAGAAGUGCGAAUGCUGACAUAAGUAACGAUAAAGCGGGUGAAAAGCCCGCUCGCCGGAAGACCAAGGGUUCCUGUCCAACGUUAAUCGGGGCAGGGUGAGUCGACCCCUAAGGCGAGGCCGAAAGGCGUAGUCGAUGGGAAACGGGUUAAUAUUCCCGUACUUGGUGUUACUGCGAAGGGGGGACGGAGAAGGCUAUGUUGGCCGGGCGACGGUUGUCCCGGUUUAAGCGUGUAGGUGUGUGUUCCAGGUAAAUCCGGUUCACUUUAACACUGAGGCGUGAUGACGAGGCACUACGGUGCUGAAGCAACAAAUGCCCUGCUUCCAGGAAAAGCCUCUAAGCAUCAGGUAACAUCAAAUCGUACCCCAAACCGACACAGGUGGUCAGGUAGAGAAUACCAAGGCGCUUGAGAGAACUCGGGUGAAGGAACUAGGCAAAAUGGUGCCGUAACUUCGGGAGAAGGCACGCUGACAUGUAGGUGAAGUGAUUUACUCAUGGAGCUGAAGUCAGUCGAAGAUACCAGCUGGCUGCAACUGUUUAUUAAAAACACAGCACUGUGCAAACACGAAAGUGGACGUAUACGGUGUGACGCCUGCCCGGUGCCGGAAGGUUAAUUGAUGGGGUCAGCGCAAGCGAAGCUCCUGAUCGAAGCCCCGGUAAACGGCGGCCGUAACUAUAACGGUCCUAAGGUAGCGAAAUUCCUUGUCGGGUAAGUUCCGACCUGCACGAAUGGCGUAAUGAUGGCCAGGCUGUCUCCACCCGAGACUCAGUGAAAUUGAACUCGCUGUGAAGAUGCAGUGUACCCGCGGCAAGACGGAAAGACCCCGUGAACCUUUACUAUAGCUUGACACUGAACAUUGAGCCUUGAUGUGUAGGAUAGGUGGGAGGCUUUGAAGUGUGGACGCCAGUCUGCAUGGAGCCGACCUUGAAAUACCACCCUUUAAUGUUUGAUGUUCUAACGUGGACCCGUAAUCCGGGUUGCGGACAGUGUCUGGUGGGUAGUUUGACUGGGGCGGUCUCCUCCUAAAGAGUAACGGAGGAGCACGAAGGUUGGCUAAUCCUGGUCGGACAUCAGGAGGUUAGUGCAAUGGCAUAAGCCAGCUUGACUGCGAGCGUGACGGCGCGAGCAGGUGCGAAAGCAGGUCAUAGUGAUCCGGUGGUUCUGAAUGGAAGGGCCAUCGCUCAACGGAUAAAAGGUACUCCGGGGAUAACAGGCUGAUACCGCCCAAGAGUUCAUAUCGACGGCGGUGUUUGGCACCUCGAUGUCGGCUCAUCACAUCCUGGGGCUGAAGUAGGUCCCAAGGGUAUGGCUGUUCGCCAUUUAAAGUGGUACGCGAGCUGGGUUUAGAACGUCGUGAGACAGUUCGGUCCCUAUCUGCCGUGGGCGCUGGAGAACUGAGGGGGGCUGCUCCUAGUACGAGAGGACCGGAGUGGACGCAUCACUGGUGUUCGGGUUGUCAUGCCAAUGGCACUGCCCGGUAGCUAAAUGCGGAAGAGAUAAGUGCUGAAAGCAUCUAAGCACGAAACUUGCCCCGA
RNAcentral lists this ribosomal RNA (1592 nucleotides) under Salmonella enterica. RNAcentral's name for it is "partial 23S ribosomal RNA". It matches the Rfam family "Bacterial large subunit ribosomal RNA", at positions 1228 to 2802 of the family's 2925-position model. Lineage: Bacteria; Pseudomonadati; Pseudomonadota; Gammaproteobacteria; Enterobacterales; Enterobacteriaceae. The record is from RNAcentral.